UCCGUGUAACUCAUCCCCUCAUCAUCACAUAUAUCUAUAUAAAGAGGUCUUUCUUUCUCUCAAGUCAUCCAUUGCAGCUCUCAAGAACAAAAGAAAAAAUCAGAGAAUUCCAGAUCCUUCUUCUUCUCUACAAAUCACUCACCUGAUACUCCAGCAAGACUUCCGAAUAUAAUUGAUAAUGAUCUCCGUUGUAAUCAUCACUGGUCUACUAGUGGAGUACACAGCAGCUCUCGCAAAACUCACCGCAGGGAUUAUUCCGAGACGGCAAGGAGACAGCAACGUAGUACGAGUUGGUGGUUUCGUCUUGUCUUGUCCUUCUCCGUGGAGUACUAAUCGUUCGUCGCCGAUACCAGACUUUUCUUCUCAUCUAGUAGAUUUCUGAUAUGUGACGACUUUUAGAGAUUUUUAUUUUGGAUUUUGUCAUCUUUUUUUAAUCUCUUCUAGAAGAGUGACGGCGGAGAUUUUUCCCUCGAGUGUCUCUAUGCCCUCUCUUCCUCUUUGUAAAUCUGUAUCGAAAUAUAAUAGAAAUUCACUAGUAAAAAUCUGUCGCACAGCCAUUAUAGUGCCACGGUAAAACCGUGGCUAAAUUAAAAAAGCCACGAUAAGUGUGUUGCUGAGUUAUUAUAUUAAAAAAAAAAAAAAAACAAAAACGCAAAUGUGUAUAGUUGUGCGCGUACGACGCGGUUGUUUUGUCUUUUUUAAAUAUAAAAGAUAAUUAAAAGUGAGUCCGUGUAACUCAUCCCCUCAUCAUCACAUAUAUCUAUAUAAAGAGGUCUUUCUUUCUCUCAAGUCAUCCAUUGCAGCUCUCAAGAACAAAAGAAAAAAUCAGAGAAUUCCAGAUCCUUCUUCUUCUCUACAAAUCACUCACCUGAUACUCCAGCAAGACUUCCGAAUAUAAUUGAUAAUGAUCUCCGUUGUAAUCAUCACUGGUCUACUAGUGGAGUACACAGCAGCUCUCGCAAAACUCACCGCAGGGAUUAUUCCGAGACGGCAAGGAGACAGCAACGUAGUACGAGUUGGUGGUUUCGUCUUGUCUUGUCCUUCUCCGUGGAGUACUAAUCGUUCGUCGCCGAUACCAGACUUUUCUUCUCAUCUAGUAGAUUUCUGAUAUGUGACGACUUUUAGAGAUUUUUAUUUUGGAUUUUGUCAUCUUUUUUUAAUCUCUUCUAGAAGAGUGACGGCGGAGAUUUUUCCCUCGAGUGUCUCUAUGCCCUCUCUUCCUCUUUGUAAAUCUGUAUCGAAAUAUAAUAGAAAUUCACUAGUAAAAAUCUGUCGCACAGCCAUUAUAGUGCCACGGUAAAACCGUGGCUAAAUUAAAAAAGCCACGAUAAGUGUGUUGCUGAGUUAUUAUAUUAAAAAAAAAAAAAAACAAAAACGCAAAUGUGUAUAGUUGUGCGCGUACGACGCGGUUGUUUUGUCUUUUUUAAAUAUAAAAGAUAAUUAAAAGUGAGUCCGUGUAACUCAUCCCCUCAUCAUCACAUAUAUCUAUAUAAAGAGGUCUUUCUUUCUCUCAAGUCAUCCAUUGCAGCUCUCAAGAACAAAAGAAAAAAUCAGAGAAUUCCAGAUCCUUCUUCUUCUCUACAAAUCACUCACCUGAUACUCCAGCAAGACUUCCGAAUAUAAUUGAUAAUGAUCUCCGUUGUAAUCAUCACUGGUCUACUAGUGGAGUACACAGCAGCUCUCGCAAAACUCACCGCAGGGAUUAUUCCGAGACGGCAAGGAGACAGCAACGUAGUACGAGUUGGUGGUUUCGUCUUGUCUUGUCCUUCUCCGUGGAGUACUAAUCGUUCGUCGCCGAUACCAGACUUUUCUUCUCAUCUAGUAGAUUUCUGAUAUGUGACGACUUUUAGAGAUUUUUAUUUUGGAUUUUGUCAUCUUUUUUUAAUCUCUUCUAGAAGAGUGACGGCGGAGAUUUUUCCCUCGAGUGUCUCUAUGCCCUCUCUUCCUCUUUGUAAAUCUGUAUCGAAAUAUAAUAGAAAUUCACUAGUAAAAAUCUGUCGCACAGCCAUUAUAGUGCCACGGUAAAACCGUGGCUAAAUUAAAAAAGCCACGAUAAGUGUGUUGCUGAGUUAUUAUAUUAAAAAAAAAAAAAAACAAAAACGCAAAUGUGUAUAGUUGUGCGCGUACGACGCGGUUGUUUUGUCUUUUUUAAAUAUAAAAGAUAAUUAAAAGUGAGUCCGUGUAACUCAUCCCCUCAUCAUCACAUAUAUCUAUAUAAAGAGGUCUUUCUUUCUCUCAAGUCAUCCAUUGCAGCUCUCAAGAACAAAAGAAAAAAUCAGAGAAUUCCAGAUCCUUCUUCUUCUCUACAAAUCACUCACCUGAUACUCCAGCAAGACUUCCGAAUAUAAUUGAUAAUGAUCUCCGUUGUAAUCAUCACUGGUCUACUAGUGGAGUACACAGCAGCUCUCGCAAAACUCACCGCAGGGAUUAUUCCGAGACGGCAAGGAGACAGCAACGUAGUACGAGUUGGUGGUUUCGUCUUGUCUUGUCCUUCUCCGUGGAGUACUAAUCGUUCGUCGCCGAUACCAGACUUUUCUUCUCAUCUAGUAGAUUUCUGAUAUGUGACGACUUUUAGAGAUUUUUAUUUUGGAUUUUGUCAUCUUUUUUUAAUCUCUUCUAGAAGAGUGACGGCGGAGAUUUUUCCCUCGAGUGUCUCUAUGCCCUCUCUUCCUCUUUGUAAAUCUGUAUCGAAAUAUAAUAGAAAUUCACUAGUAAAAAUCUGUCGCACAGCCAUUAUAGUGCCACGGUAAAACCGUGGCUAAAUUAAAAAAGCCACGAUAAGUGUGUUGCUGAGUUAUUAUAUUAAAAAAAAAAAAAAACAAAAACGCAAAUGUGUAUAGUUGUGCGCGUACGACGCGGUUGUUUUGUCUUUUUUAAAUAUAAAAGAUAAUUAAAAGUGAGUCCGUGUAACUCAUCCCCUCAUCAUCACAUAUAUCUAUAUAAAGAGGUCUUUCUUUCUCUCAAGUCAUCCAUUGCAGCUCUCAAGAACAAAAGAAAAAAUCAGAGAAUUCCAGAUCCUUCUUCUUCUCUACAAAUCACUCACCUGAUACUCCAGCAAGACUUCCGAAUAUAAUUGAUAAUGAUCUCCGUUGUAAUCAUCACUGGUCUACUAGUGGAGUACACAGCAGCUCUCGCAAAACUCACCGCAGGGAUUAUUCCGAGACGGCAAGGAGACAGCAACGUAGUAC
Molecule: long non-coding RNA, 3188 nt
Filed under: Brassica napus (rape)
Lineage: Eukaryota; Viridiplantae; Streptophyta; Magnoliopsida; Brassicales; Brassicaceae
Description: long non-coding RNA (BNAP_LNC006028)
Source: RNAcentral